ACGAACGCUGGCGGCGUGCUUAACACCUGCAAGUCGAACGGAAAGGCCCUGCUUUUGUGGGGUGCUCGAGUGGCGAACGGGUGAGUAACACGUGAGUAACCUGCCCUUGACUUUGGGAUAACUUCAGGAAACUGGGGCUAAUACCGGAUAGGAGCUCCUGCUGCAUGGUGGGGGUUGGAAAGUUUCGGCGGUUGGGGAUGGACUCGCGGCUUAUCAGCUUGUUGGUGGGGUAGUGGCUUACCAAGGCUUUGACGGGUAGCCGGCCUGAGAGGGUGACCGGCCACAUUGGGACUGAGAUACGGCCCAGACUCCUACGGGAGGCAGCAGUGGGGAAUAUUGCACAAUGGGCGGAAGCCUGAUGCAGCAACGCCGCGUGCGGGAUGAUGGCCUUCGGGUUGUAAACCGCUUUCGCCUGUGACGAAGCGUGAGUGACGGUAAUGGGUAAAGAAGCACCGGCUAACUACGUG
RNAcentral lists this ribosomal RNA (467 nucleotides) under uncultured bacterium. Its description in RNAcentral is "partial 16S ribosomal RNA". It matches the Rfam family "Bacterial small subunit ribosomal RNA", at positions 29 to 507 of the family's 1533-position model. The record is from RNAcentral.